This 208-nucleotide small nucleolar RNA is filed under the name Leptinotarsa decemlineata (Colorado potato beetle). Its description in RNAcentral is "small nucleolar RNA U3". It matches the Rfam family "Small nucleolar RNA U3". Rfam says of the family: Small nucleolar RNAs (snoRNAs) are involved in the processing and modification of rRNA in the nucleolus. There are two main classes of snoRNAs: the box C/D class, and the box H/ACA class. The record is from RNAcentral. Lineage: Eukaryota; Metazoa; Arthropoda; Insecta; Coleoptera; Chrysomelidae.
AAGAUCAUACUUCACAGGAUCAUUUCUGUAGUAGAUCUUCGCAUACUCUCUACUCAAAUGUAGAGUUGUCGCAACCAUGAUGACGAGUUGAAACCUCGUGUUCUGAGCGUGAGGCAGACAAUAUGCAUUUACGUGUAUAUUUGUCAACGAUGAUCGUUCACUCACUGGAUAUAUCCAAUGAGGAUGGAUACGAGGUAUUCUGAGUGGU